This 251-nucleotide ribosomal RNA is filed under the name uncultured crenarchaeote. Its description in RNAcentral is "partial 16S ribosomal RNA". It matches the Rfam family "Archaeal small subunit ribosomal RNA", at positions 187 to 442 of the family's 1478-position model. Lineage: Archaea; Thermoproteati; Thermoproteota. The record is from RNAcentral.
UCUUUCGUGCAUCUGCUCCAGGAUGGGACUGCGUCCGAUCAGGCUGUUGGCGGGGUAAUGGCCCACCAAACCUGUAACCGGUACGGGCCUUGAGAGAGGUGGCCCGGAGAUGGACACUGAGAGAAGGGUCCAGGUCGUACGGGGCGCAGCAGGCGAGAAAGUGUACAAUGCGCGAAAGCGUGACGAGGUUAAUCGGAGUGGUGCCGCUGAGGAGGUCUUUGUCAGCUGUAAAUAGGCAGGAGAAUAAUGCA